CGUGGCUAACCUGCCCUUGGGACGGAAGCACCCCCGGGAAACUGGGGCUAAUUUCCGAUAGGGGAAGACUCCUGGAAUGGAUUUUCGCCUAAAAGGCGCUUAGAGCAUGCUUCUAGGCGUUGCCCAAGGAUGGGGCCGCGGCCGAUCAGGUUGUUGGUGAGGUAACGGCUCACCAAGCCUUUAACCGGUGCGGGCCGUGGGAGCGGGAGCCCGGAGAUGGGCACUGAGACAAGGGCCCAGGCCCUACGGGGCGCAGCAGUCGCGAAAACUUCGCAAUAAGCGAAAGCUUGACGGGGCUAUCCCGAGUGCCAUCCGCUGAGGAUGGCUUUUCCCUAGUAUAGAUAGCUGGGGGAAAAAGGAGAGGGCAAGUCUGGUGUCAGCCGCCGCGGUAAUACCAGCUCUCCGAGUGGUGGGGAUGAUUAUUGGGCCUAAAGCAUCCGUAGCCGGCUGGGCAAGUCCCCUGUUAAACCCAGCGAUCUAAUCGUUGGCCUGCGGGGGAUACUGCUUGGCUAGGGGGCGAGAGAGGCCGUCGGUAUUCCCGGGGUAGGGGUGAAAUCCUAUAAUCCCGGGAGGACCACCAGUGGCGAAGGCUGUCGGCUAGAACGCGCCCGACGGUGAGGGAUGAAAGCUGGGGGAGCGAACCGGAUUAGAUACCCGGGUAGUCCCAGCUGU
Molecule: ribosomal RNA, 672 nt
Filed under: uncultured archaeon
Lineage: Archaea
Description: bacterial SSU rRNA
Rfam family: Archaeal small subunit ribosomal RNA
Source: RNAcentral